Molecule: unclassified non-coding RNA, 341 nt
Filed under: Hevea brasiliensis (rubber tree)
Lineage: Eukaryota; Viridiplantae; Streptophyta; Magnoliopsida; Malpighiales; Euphorbiaceae
Source: RNAcentral
AAACAUUCCAACUUCUCUUGGUUGACGUAACCAUUUAUCUCUAUAACAUAUAAGUAUCUCAAAAAUCUCAUUUUCUUUUGAACAAUUUUUAAUUGCUUUAUAAAUCUGUGGAUUUCGAGGUUUUCUCCUGGAGGGUCAUACCUAGCCCUUUGCAGUAAAAUCAUCAGUACAUCAUUUAGAUUCUUUCCAACACAAUCCAUAUAUUUCGACAGAUCAGAAUCAUUCAACUCAUGGUUGUAACUUAAACUGAUUUUACCUUCAAAGAAUUCCAACAAAUGUAAUUCUAACCUUCUUAAAUUAAGGUUAGUUUUACAUUCAUCCGGAAUUCCAUCCAAUACCCA